This 71-nucleotide transfer RNA is filed under the name Marmota marmota marmota (Alpine marmot). It matches the Rfam family "tRNA". Rfam says of the family: Transfer RNA (tRNA) molecules are approximately 80 nucleotides in length. Lineage: Eukaryota; Metazoa; Chordata; Mammalia; Rodentia; Sciuridae. RNAcentral also lists the same sequence under 1 other name. The record is from Rfam by way of RNAcentral.
GUGGUUGUGGCUUAGCGGUAGAGCGCUUGCCUUGUAUGUGCGGGGCCCUGGGUUCGAUCCUCAGCACCACA